GCAUCCAUAGUUCAAUUGGAUAGAACGUUCGACUUCGGAUCGAAAGGUUAUGGGUUCGACUCCUAUUGGGUGCGCCA
This 77-nucleotide transfer RNA is filed under the name Mycoplasmataceae bacterium. Its description in RNAcentral is "tRNA-Arg". It matches the Rfam family "tRNA". From Rfam's summary of the family: Transfer RNA (tRNA) molecules are approximately 80 nucleotides in length. Their secondary structure includes four short double-helical elements and three loops (D, anti-codon, and T loops). The record is from RNAcentral. Lineage: Bacteria; Bacillati; Mycoplasmatota; Mollicutes; Mycoplasmatales; Mycoplasmataceae.